This 506-nucleotide ribosomal RNA is filed under the name uncultured bacterium. Its description in RNAcentral is "partial 16S ribosomal RNA". It matches the Rfam family "Bacterial small subunit ribosomal RNA", at positions 29 to 523 of the family's 1533-position model. The record is from RNAcentral.
AGUGAGCGCUGGCGGUAGGCCUAACACAUGCAAGUCGAACGGCAGCACAGGAGAGCUUGCUCUCUGGGUGGCGAGUGGCGGACGGGUGAGGAAUACAUCGGAAUCUACUUUUUCGUGGGGGAUAACGUAGGGAAACUUACGCUAAUACCGCAUACGACCUACGGGUGAAAGCAGGGGACCUUCGGGCCUUGCGCGAUUGAAUGAGCCGAUGUCGGAUUAGCUUGUUGGCGGGGUAAAGGCCCACCAAGGCGACGAUCCGUAGCUGGUCCGGGAGGAUGAGCAACAACAGUGGAACGGGGAGACGGUCCAGACUCGUACGGGAGGCAGCAGUGGGGAAUAUUGGACAAUGGGCGCAAGCCUGAUCCAGCCAUCCCGCGUGGGUGAAGAAGGCCUUCGGGUUGUAAGGCCCUUUUGUUGGGAAAGAAAUCCAGCUGGCUAAUACCCGGUUGGGAUGACGGUACCCAAAGAAUAAGCACCGGCUAACUUCGUGCCAGCCGCCGCCGUAA